Molecule: long non-coding RNA, 845 nt
Filed under: Ananas comosus (pineapple)
Lineage: Eukaryota; Viridiplantae; Streptophyta; Magnoliopsida; Poales; Bromeliaceae
Description: long non-coding RNA (ACOM_LNC035991)
Source: RNAcentral
UAAUAAUAUAAAUUAUUAAGGAUUAAUUGCAGGUGGUCCCUGCAAAUAUAAUAAAUUAUAAAUAUAUAUUUUUAUAAAGUUUAACUUUUAUAUAUUAUUUCUAUAAAAAAUUUUGAUAUUUUCAAAUAUAUUCCUGCCGUUAGAAUCCGUAAAAAAAAAUUAAUUAACCAUAGAUUGAAUACUUAGCCCUGAUUAGUUAAUGAGGUGAAUUGAUUUUUUUACCGCUCUUUAAUUAAGUUUUGAAAAAUAUAUUUGUGAGGGCAAAAAGAUCAAUUUACUUAUAAAAUAGACCUUAUUUUAAAUAUAACAAACCUGAGAGACAUAUUUGAAAACAUUAGGGCUUUUAUAAGGACAAUAUAUGAGAGUUGAACUUUGUAGAAAAAUAUUUACAAUUCAUUAUAUUUGCAGGGAGCUGUACGAAAUUAAUUCUACAAUUAAAAUACAUAAUAUUAUAUGUAUAUAGAGUUUUGGUUUUUAGAUAUAUUUUGCCGGCUCAUAUAAUCAAACCAGUAAAACCUUACUCCCUCUCUUUCACUUGCUCGCAUAGUCACUUUCUCUUACAUUAUUUUUUAAUAUUAUAAUAUUGUAUCAAUCGUCUUUAGCGCAAGUGGCAAAAAACUUCAUAGUUGGAACCUGAGGUUCCAAGUUCGAAUCUUAGUUGAUGCACAUUUCUAGCUAAGUUUAUUUCUAAAUGAAAUAAAUAAAGCGAAUAGUAUGCUAUCUAUUUCUCAAAAAAAAAAAAUUAUAAUAUUAUCUUUACGUAUUUAUUUUGCAUGUUGAACUAUUAGACAUAUUUUUUUUAUAAUAUUUUUAGAUAAUAUUUUAUAAAAAUUAAACUAUGCUCG